AACCGAAACACGAAAACAAGGUGUGUGUAUUGUGAUUUAACUAAGGAAGAUGUGAACUAUAAUGCAAUUAUGAGUGAGAAACUUAUACUAAAUGCAAAAUGACCUGGAUGCAAUCUACGAGAAUUUAUGGAAUUAAUGAAAUACUAACGCACUAGGAUCACGAAUUCCCAAGCAACACCUGUUCAACUUUUAAUUAUGCAAAUUUGACACACACUCCCACAAUUGAUGAAUCAAUAUUCCUAUUUUAAUUUAGUAAUCUCUCUCGAGCAAUACCAAACCUACCCCAAUAUGUGAUUCGACUAUCUCUAUGACGAAUACUAACAUACAAGAACGCAUGUAAUUUCAUGAAUAUUCAACGAUUCACACGAGGUAUAGAGGUAUAUAUCUAUCUCCUAUCGGACCCUAUGAUGAUUUAUACCAUGUCAAGCCUAUUUUCCUUCUCUCGAAUGCAUAAAACAGGCCACCAAAAUCAUAUAAUUACGUGUACAAUUAUAAUAUGGGAAUAAAAAUGUAUAAAUCAUUCAAUUUCGAAACAUGUGCUUAAAUAUGUCAAAUCUCCAAAUCAAAAAUCAAAACUUGUAUUGCAAGGUUUAUCGAUCUCCUGGUACGUGAAAAAUCUAGCCUAACAUGCGAAAAAGAAAAAAAUACAAAAAUAGUUGAAGAAACGUCAUCACCCGAAUCAAGUUUCAAUCAAUUCUUCAAUUGGCACGAUGUUUUCCUCUUGUUCUCUUUUCGUUUUCUCCUUCAAAAUCUCUCUUUUUCUUCUAAAAUUGGCGUCCUUUUUGUUCUGGUCAAGUUUUCAUUUAUAUAGGACCCCCAAAAAUUUUAUUUCCAUAAGAGUUUCGGUGAAAUAAGGAAACUGCAGAAUCGGCCCCCGAAUUGUUCUAUGCGACCGCAUAGUACAUUUCUAUGCGGUCGCAAAGAGUAAAAAUUUUUGAGAAUUUAUUCUCGGGUGGCCUCUAUGCGACCGCAUAGAGGGGUCGCAUAGUGCUACCAACUAUGCAAAAAGUCCAUUUUGGUCUUUGAACUUUCAUUCUUUUUCAUUUUAGUCCCUUUACAAUUCCUUCUUCUUCUUCCAAGCAUCUUGUAUCGCUUUCGAGUUCAUACUAAGCAUAUUUGCAUUCCCGGGUUGCCUUUUGGUUCAACUUUGAAUAUUUACAUCCUUAUUCCCUGAACUAUCACUUUGCUCCAUUUUAGUUCUUUUUCGACUCUUUUCUCCUGAAUUCCACCAUUUCCAUAGAAACACCUACAUUGCAUGAAUUCAACGAGAUUAAGUCACAAUUUAAACAUUUUGCUCGUAAUUAAGUCAUGUUUGUGAUCUAAAUAAGUGUGCAAAAACACACUUAUCAAACCCCCCAAAGUUGAACUAUUGUUUGUCUUCAAACAAGAUAGUGAUUUAAUUCUGAACAAACAUGGCUUAAUACCCUGCCGUGGCUCAGGAUUGGACUAAGUAUUUGACUUAUGAAAAUUUAUCAGUACAAAAAUGACAUCAACUUUUACCUAUUAAUUGCAUGCUUGACGUGUGUGUGUAAAUUCAUGCCAACAUAUCAAAUUCAUGAUGGGUUGAGUCUAGACCCCAAGUGGUCAAAUGUAUCGUUACUCGCUCGAGAGAUACACAACCCUCAAAACUUAUUCUUUUCACUCAAUUAUCCCAGGGCCGUGUUUUAAGAUUAGGAAUUUACAUAGCUGUAGUCCUCACCCUCUCGUAGUUUGGAUUGAUCUCACGAUCACAAAUUUACAUUUCAACAAGUGAAGGCUCUCCCAAGUUUGAUUGUUUCGACACUCAAGAUUAAAAUAGGUUACUUGCCUCGCCUCAAAGGUAUAGUUUCCUCAACCAAAUGUCUAAGGGUUUUUCUUCAUAUUAUUGUCUCACUUUUGUUUUCUCGCUUUCCAUUUUUUUAAUCAUCAUCUCAUUUGCUUUCUAUACAACCAAUGUAAUGAGCUUUAGGCCGGUGACUCCCAAACCAGUUGGCUUUAGGGUACCAAGUUUUAAACCCUUGCAUGCUUAUUCAUUCGAGUUAUAAAGGCUCGAUCAGAUGACUUUUUAUUAACCUCUUUCCCUCUUGCUUUCUAUAUGACCCCUUUAGCAAGCUUUAGGCCGGUGACUCCCAAACCAGUUGGCUUUAGGGUACCAGGUUUUAUACCCUUGUAGGCUUACUUGCUCGAAUCAUAAAGGCAUGAAAAGAAGUGUCUUAUUUUCACAAAUUAAUUUUACGCCCUUAUUGUUCUAGACAUUUAGUUUCCAAAAUCAACCCCCAAUUUAAGAUUUUCGCCUAAUCUUCACCUCACUGGUCUAGGCAAUCCACACAAUAAAAUUUCAUGCACGAAGCCCCCGCUUAUUUCAAUGCUCUCUAUAAUAGCUCAACCAAUUUCAAACUGUCUUAAGGUGAUUUACAUGUUAAUUCAAUAGAGAGUUAUUAUUCUUUUUCUAGUUUAUGCUCAAAAUCCAGCCAUUCACCUAACAUGUCAAGCAUGAACAGCGUGCAUAGAUAAUGUCAAGUAUUGCAUCACAAGUAUUGGUUAAUCUAUUCAUCACUAUAUUCAAAGUUUAUGAAUUAUACCAAUCCAAUAAUCACAUGAUAGUCGGCAAGGCUAUCAAGCCCAACAAGCAUGCCAAAGUAUAAUUAACACUCACUCAUCAAGCAUGCAUCAUGCAACAAUUAGUCAACAAUAACGAUGGACUGUGAAAAUGAAAAAUAAUUACAUGCCGACUAUUUGUUUUAAAUUAUGCCAUCAUCCCCCAAACUUAUACAGUACAUUAUCCUCAAUGUAAGAAUUAAAGUUGAAAUGGCAUAAUUUAAAAAGAAAAACAAGAACACAAAAUAGCAAAAUGGGGUAAUCAAGACUCCCCUGAUCAAUAUAGUGGCUGUGAUGGAAGGCUGGAUCCUGCAGCAUCAUCUCCAGGAGGGGGAGGAAGGCGGGAUAAAAUCUCUCUCAAUAUGUCAGACUGCUGGGUCUACUCCACCUGCAUGGCCUGAACCCUGGUCUCCAAGCUCCCUAAACGGUCCCAUGUCUCAUUCACUCGCCAUUGUAUACCAUCCAUCCUGCCAACGUACAUUCACAAUCGCCCAUCAAAGGUAUUAUCUCUCUUCUCACUGCAAGGGACUCACUGCUGGCAUUGGAUGUGAAGUUUCUUGUGAUUGCCAUAUCAUUCUGUACCUGCUGGAUGGUGGUACUCAUUGCUCCAAAUGAUUGCUGGAGACUCUGCAUGUCUCGACUGUGUCCUGUCAUAGUGGCAAACAUCUGCCUCAAUAACUAGGUAUCAAUGUCAACUGAUGGUGGAGGAGCUCGUGGCAUCUCGAAGUUCUCAGCUGCGUGUCCUUCCUCAGCCUGUUGCUGUCGACGUCAUUCGUUUUCUAACUUUUGUUGAUGUUUAACUCUGGCUCGGUCCUGGGCCUCUAGUGUAAGGCGCUUGAUAUAUAGACUUGGUUUUUCUGGUGUUUUCCUAGGUUGGACUUGUAUGCCUGUAGCUUUACAUAUCCCACUUAUCAAACUUGAGAAAAUCAGCAAAGUAUGCCUGUCUCCCCAUGUGCCUAUAAUCUAUAUCUGGUUGUAGAUAUAUGUGGCCAAGUCAAUCUUGUUCCCCCGAACCAAAUGAUAGAUAAACCUCGCCUUUUGAUUUGUGAAUAUCGUCCUAUGGGAUAUGGGCUCGAUGUUGUGGCAUAUGAAUAACCAUAGGAUAGCUAUAGAUGGGGUGAGAUCAAUCUGAUACCAAUCUGCAGUAGGUAGAGGCCAUGCAUUCUCACGUCCUAAUAAUACUUCUGCAACCUCAAUCCAGUUGAAAUUAUGUGGGACUGGGAUCACAUUAUUUCAGGUUAGCUGAUAGUAGCCAUGAAUCACUUUGGGUGAAAACAUAAUCCAUUUACCUCGAACCCAUGUUUGAUGUAGAUGAUCUGAUCCAGGCGUGUCGAUUUUUGUAUUGAAGUUGGCAUAGAACUCCUUCACCAGAUUUUCAUACACCGGAUGCGGUCUUUCAAUUACUUUCUCCCAACCAUAGUUGUGGAUUAAAUAAACUAAUUCAAAAUCGGGAAAAUCUUCCAACUUAACUGGCCUUUCGGGGACGAGUGCCCAAUUGCGGACAACAUUGGCGUAACGGGCUGCUGUGUCUGAAGAUAGAAAUCGCCUGACACCCCCUUCGGACUCUCUAGUCCGGGCUGUGCCAGAUGCGGAACCAACCUUCUCUUUUCCUUUUGAUGUUCUUUUUGGAGGCAUCCUGCAAAUGUGCAAAAAUAACAUUCAUUAAACUUCUUGUUGAGAAACGAGAGAUGGAAUGAGAUUAGCAAGACAUAUAUUUCACAAAUCCCCCAAACUUACGUCAACAUGCAUAUAUAACACAUUGGUGUGCAAUCUUCAAAACAUGAUAUUCAAGAUAGUGUAAAUAGUCUGCCAAUAUGAAAAACUAAGAAAACUAGGCCUAAACAUGCACAUUUGAAAAAUUGGACCCAUGACCAAGUACGCAUGUUCUGCCCCGGAUAUCAUCAAAAAAUAUCGAAAUUUUCCCGAGCAAUCUUCGGGCAUAUGAAAGUAUUUAAUGAGGUCUACCAUAUACUCAAAUUUCAAAUCAAUUGGACUUCGUUUCGUGUGUCAAAUUAUGGUGUAAAAUAGGGGACGGAGGGUGCCGUGACUUGGCUAUGUAGUGCCUACGUCAUGCAAGAUGGGAUUUUAUGUUUUUCACGGCCUUUCAAGUGAUCUGUCUUUAUCCAAUCGUUAUACACAUCAAUUGUACAACAUAACCAAAGCCAAAAUUUCAAAAUUGCAUAAAGCUCGAUACUUAGGGAUUUCAUCAAAUAUGUAACAUGCAUUCCUUGUAAACCCUACAAAAUACCAAAAAUUUAAUGUUCCACCAAUCCAUAACACAACCCAAGUGCAAAAUACACAAUCCAUUGACUACCUAUUGCCCAUUCUCCGCAAUCAUGCUCAUAAAAUUCUCGGUUCAUCUCGAAUCGAACUAAAAAAAUCAUAGAAGAAAAGGAAUGGGAGAAUGUACCUUGAAUUCGCAAUGAACAUGUGGAGUAUUGAUUUAGGGUGCCAAUGGAAUGAAGAAUGAGUGUGAGUCAUGUGUUUGUGUGUCUUACCGUGUGUGUUGGUGUGAAGGUGCGAGAGAGGGGCGAAAAGGAGGGAAAUUGAUUGAGAGUGACUCGAUCAUGGCUUAAAUCCAUGACCGAGUCACUACUAUGUGGCCGCAUAGUAGUAUCCUAUGCGGUCACAUAGUGAUAGAAAUAGCCCAAAUUUUUGUUUCGGUUGAUGUCUAUGCGACCGCGUAGACAUUAUGUCAAUGCGAUCACAUAGACAAUUUUUUUUUUUAAAAUCUGAAUUAUGGGAAAAAAAACAAUAUCAAAAUUACAAUUUUAAACCCCAAAACACAACUUAAUUAAAAUUUUCCCCCGAAAUUGGUUUUCAAUUAUAAAUUUGACUCGGCUAAUAUUAUUCUCGAAAAAUUUAGAAACUUCCAAUUCAAUGGGAUAUGUGCUUGCCGAAAGACUUAGCACCAAGAUCAAUUUAUGGAAUAAACUUCAAACGCAUUUUGAAAAUUUUUAUGAAGAAUGACUUUGUGCAUCGAAAUGCAUGAUUUCACACUCAAUCCCUCAAAACAACUUCAAUCAACUUGACUCAUGCCAUCUUAAAUGUGUAAUGCUUAGACUAGUAUGCGUGAAAGAUCGAUGACCUAACAAAAAAAUGCAAAUGCGAAAAUUAAACGACUCCUAAAAUAAUGUGAAAAGUAAAAUAAAUCAAAGGAUACAGUGGGUUGCCUCCCACGCAGCGCUAGGUUAUAGUCGAUAGUUCGACUUUAUCGUAUUGCGUCAUUCUGGUGGUCUAAGAUGAACGAUAGACUUUUCCUAUGAGAAAUCGCCGCUCCAAUAGUGCUUCAAACACUGUCCAUUGACCUUAAAUGUUUCCUUACUGUCAUAAGUGAUUUCAACUGCUCCAUGCAGAAAUAGUUGUGUAAUAGUAUAGGGGCCAAACCAUCUCGAUCGCAGCUUUCCUGGAAACAGCAUAAGCUCAGAGUUGUAGAGUAACACUUUUUGCCCCACUUUAAAUUCACGCCUCUGAAUAUGCAUAUCAUGCCACUUCUUGGUGCGUUCUUUGUAUAGUCUUGAAUUUUCGUAGGCCUCCAUUUUGAGCUCAUCCAGCUCAUUAAGUUGUAAUAAACGUUUUUCACCCACAACCUUCAAGUCCAAAUUCAAUUUCUUCAUUACCCAAUAAGUAUGGUGUUCUAUCUCAAGAGGUAAGUGGCAUGCCUUCCUAAAAACUAGUUGAUAUGGUGACAUCCCCAUAGGAGUCUUGAAUGCAGUCCUAUAGGCCCACAAGGCGUCUUCCAGCUUCUUUGACCAAUCUUUUCGUGAAGAGCUUACUGUGACUUCAAGUGUUCGCUUUAAUUGUUUAUUGGACACUUCAACCUGUUCGCUGGUUUGAGGGUGAUAUGCAGUGGCUAGACGAUGUUUAACGCCGUAUUUAGUCAACAACCGUUCAAAUUGGCGAUUGCAGAAAUGUUUGCCUCUGUCACUGAUUAUAGCUCUCGGUGUGCUAAAGCAGGUGAAAAUAUUUUUUUUUAGAAAAUCUAUCACCACCUUUCCAUCGUUGGUAUGCAAUGCAACGGCUUCUAACCACUUCGAUACGUAAUCCAUAGCCACCAAUAUAUACUGAUUAGAGAAUGAUGGGGAAAAUGGCCCCAUGAAGUCAAUCUCCUAGACGUCAAAUAGUUCCACAUCUAGGAUACUGUUCAAAGGCAUUUCAUUUCUCCUGGAUAUAUUACCGGUGCGUUGACAUCGGUCACACCUUUUUACGAAUUCAAAGGCAUCCUUAAACAAUGUAGGCCAGUAAAAACCUGACUAAAGAUCUUCGUCUCUAUUUUUGAAGCACCAAAAUGCCCUGUGUAUGUAGAUAAAUGACAAUGUUCUAGUAUUAAUGGCACUUCUUCCUCAAGUACGCAACGACGAACGAUUUGAUCAGAUCCUCGCCUGUAUAGAAUGGGAUCCUCCCAAAAAUAAUACUUCAACUCAGCGAAAAAUUUCCUCUUCUGGUGAUUUGAGUAAUCUGGCGGAAUGAUAGACCUGGCUAAGUAGUUAACUAUGUCAGCAUACCAGGAUGCUCCCCCACAUCGAAAAUCUGUUCAUCUGGGAAGACUUCAUUGAUUUCCACGGUCUUUGUCUGCUCUGUAGUCUCAAGUUGAGACAAGUGGUCUGCUACCACGUUUUCACUGCCCUUCUUAUCCCUAAUUUCCAAACCAAACUCUUGAAGCAGCAGUAUCCAACAAAUGAGACGUGGCUUGGCAUCCUCCUUUUCCAUUAAGUACUUGAUGGCUGCAUGAUCUAUGUAAACGAUGACCUUUGACCCCACAAGAUAUGAUCGAAAUUUGUAAAAGGCAUAGACUAUGACAAGGAGCUCUUUCUCUGUAGUGGCAUAGUUUAAUUGAGCAUCGUUCAAAGUCUUACUUGCAUAGUAGGUUUCGUGAAAUAUCUUAUUUCUCCGUUGUCCCAAUACGGCCCCAACAGUAAAAUCACGGUGUGAUGAUCACGGGUGCUAAAAUCAACUUCUCUUUCAAGGUAUUAAAAUCCAUCAAACACUCAUUUGUGAACUCAAAUGUGGAUUCCUUCAUCAACAAACGGCACAGUAGUUUAGUAAUUUUUGAGAAAUCCUUUACGAACCUUCUGUAGAACCCGACAUGUCCAAGGAAGCUACGAACACCUUUCACUGAUGUUGGUGGCGAUAAUUUCUCGAUCACCUAAAUCUUUGCUCUGUCCACCUCAAUACCCUUUGCUGAUAUUCUGUGUCCUAACACGAUGCCUUCCUGUACCAUAAAGUGACAUUUCUCCCAAUUUAAUACCAAGUUGGUCUCUAUACACCGCUGUAACAUAAGACUCAGAUGCUCCAAACACUCAUCAAACGAAGACCCAAACACUGAGAAGUCAUCCAUGAGUACCUCGAUGAAUUUCUCAAUCAUAUCAGAAAAGAUAGCCAUCAUGCAACGUUGAAAGGUGGCGGGGGCGUUGCACAAACCAAAGGGCAUCCUACGGUAUGCAAAGGUACCGUAGUGGCAUGUGAAAGUUGUCUUCUCCUAGUUGUCAGGUGCUACUGGAAUUUGAUUAUACCCAGAGUACCCAUCCAAAAAACAGUAAUGUGAGUGCCCUACUAGUCUCUCCAACAUCUGAUCAAUGAAUGAUAGUGGAAAAUGAUCCUUUCGAGUAGCAGCAUUUAGUUUGCGGUAAUCGAUGCAAACUCUCCAUCCAGUGACUAUUCUUGUAGGAAUCAACUCAUUUUUCUCGUUCUGCACCACUGUGAUAUCUCCCUUCUUUGGAACAACUUGCACUGGACUGAUCCAUGUAUUAUCUGAUAUUGGGUAGAUGAUGCCUGCAUCGAGCAACUUCAAUACCUCAGCCCUAACCACUUCCUUCAUGUUUGGAUUCAAUCUCCGCUGACCAUUAAUGCUUGGCUUGAAAUUUUCUUCCAUAAGUAUUUUGUGCAUGCAUAGCGACGGUCUGAUCCCUUUGAUAUCUGUAAUUGACCAUCCAAUGGCUAUUUUAUUCUCCCUCAGCACCCGAAGUAGUCUCUCUUCCUCCACUUCACUGACAGUGUUUCAAAUAAUAACCAGGAGUGUAUAAAACUCCCCUAAGUAAGCAUAUCGAAGGUGUGGUGGCAAUUGUUUGAAUUCCAACUUGGGAGGUUGCUAAAUAGAUGGCACUGACUUUGUAGUCCUAGUUCCUAGUUCUUCGAAGUGACGCUUGUACAUGUAUGGUGGAUUAGUUUCCAAAAAUCGUGCACAUGUUUCAAUCUCACUUGAAUCAAUUUGAGUGGAUUGAGAAUGUGCAAUGCAUGCCUCGUAUGCAUUGGAAGGAUGAUGUAGCCGAAAUGUAUUUUAAAUUAUUCUGUCAAUUACCUCGGUCUGGAAGUAGUUGUCUGACUAGUGGGAAAUUUCAUUGCCCUGAACACGUUGAAAGAGAUCUGUUCUUCGCCAAGCCUCAAUAUAAGCUGCCCUUUCUGAACAUCGACAAUCGCUCUUCUAGUAGCUAAGAAAGGUCGCCCCAAUAUGAGUGGAACAUCCUUAUCUUCCUCCAUGUCUAAAAUGAAAAAAUCUACUAGGAAUAUAAACUUUUCUACUUUUACCAACACGUCUUCAAUGAUCCCUCUUGGAUGUGUAAGGGAUCGAUCUGCUAACUGUAAGGUCACUGUUGUAGCCUUAGCUUCUACCAAGCCGAGUUUCCUAAAAAUAGAGAGAGGCAUCAAAUUAUUACUUGCACCUAAAUCACACAAAGCUUUAUCAAAAUGACAAUUUUCAAUAGUGCAAGGUACAAUAAAACUCCCUGGAUCCUUUAGUUUUGGAGGUAGCUUUUUCUGGAUUCUGGCACUACAUUCCUCAAUUGGCAUCACUGUUUCAUUUUCUUCUAUCUUUCGCUUGUUAGAGAGGAUAUCCUUUAGAAAUUUUGCAUAACUCGGCAUCUGAACAAGUGCCUCAGCAAAUGGGAUGUUGAUGUGUAGUUUCUUGAAGACUUCAAGAAAUUUGCUAUAUUGCUAAUCCAAUUUGUGCUUUUUCAACCUCUGUGGAAAUGGAAUAUGUGGUUCAUGAGGGUUGAUAGAAUUGGUAGCAAUAACUCGUGAUGUAUUGGAACUCUUCUUGGCAACAUUCUCUGUUGUUUGUUCCACAAUCUCGUCAUCUGAGGUAGGCGCUGAUUCCUUGCUAGUUAUCAGUCUUUUUACAUGUAUCUCCAAUAGUUGUACUCCACUUUUGGUUGUUAUAGCUUUUACGUACUCCUUAGGAUUGAUUUCAGUGUUGCCGGGUAUGUUUCCUGGUGCUCUACCUGUCAUGGAGAUUGCCAUCUGUCCCAUUUGUGUCUCCAAAUUUUUUAUUGCAACACUUUGAUCUUGGAGAGUUGCAUCUGUCUUUUGCAUAAACUAGUUGUUAGCCUCCAUGUACUGAUUAGUCGUUGCCACGAACUUCUCAAACAUUUCUUCUAAUGGUGGCUUUUUAUCCUGCUGCUGAAAUUGACCUUAUGGUCUGUUUUGAUUCUGGUUACUCCGUGAGAAGUUUGGGUGUUUUCUCUAGCCCUGAUUGAAGGUUUCUGAAUGUGGAUUGUUUUGUUGGCGUUGACCCCAUUGCACAAAAUCUGCAUGUUCGAUCCCCUGUGUGAAGAUUGGACAGUUGACAGUAUUGUGGUUUGCUCCACAUUCUUCACAGCUUGGCUUCUUGACUUGUUUUGCAUUGACGGUCUGUGAAAUGCUCUCAACCUUAUGGAACAAGGAGUCUAUCUUUGCAGAUAAUGCUGAGUAAGUAUCUACUUCAUAAACCCCCGGCGUUCUCUUCUGAACCACUCGAUCUGUAGACCAUAUGGCUGAAGUUGUAGCCAUUCUCUCAAACAGUUCUCAUGCUCCGUCAAUUGUUCCCGCGGAGAUUGACCCGUCGGAUGAUGAAUCCACCAUACUCUUGAAGGAUAGAAGUAAUCUAAUGUAGAAAAAUCGGAUUUGUGUCUUUUUAUCAAAGCCAUGCUGAGGACACUUCCUUAAUAUAUUUUUGAAGUGAUUCCAGGCCUCUUCAAAUGAUUCGGACUCACCUUGGUUGAAUAUAAAUAUAUCAUGCCGCAUUUUUGCUACCUUAGCUGGCGAGAAGAGCUUGGUGUAGAAUUUGUGGGCUAGCUCGUUCCAAGUGGUGAUACUUGCGACGGGAAGUGAAUCCAGCAAUUCAAGUGCUUUAUCCCGCAAUGUGGGUAGAAACAAUCGCAGUGUUAUAGCAUCGUCUGAGAUACCCUGAUAUCUAAAGUGUUGGCACAUGUCUAGAAAUCGGGAUAUGUGUGUAUGUGGAUUCUCAUUAGCCAUCCCGUGGAAUUGAUGCCCAUUUUAAAAUAGUUGAAUCAUUUGUUUUUAGCUAGAAGUUCGGUUGCCCAAAUGGAGGAUGCACAAUGCUAGAUUGACUCUGGACCACCAACGGUGCAUGAAGUCCCCAAGUACCAUAUUCCCUUCAUCUUCAACCCUCACGCCUUCGUUGAGUUGAAUUACCGGAUGAUUUUGCUCAUUAGUCAUCUGUUGUUGCUGUUUCUGGUCUUUUUGAAUUUAUUGUGCUGCUCUUGCUUCUCUUUGCCUAUGACAAAAUGUGCGUUCGAUCUCUGGAUCAAUGGGAACCAAAUCUCGAUCAGGUGCUCUUUGCAUACAAGCCCUGAGAUAGUAAAAAUAACACAAAAAUAAAUUAAAGUAAACAAUAAACUAAGUCUAGUAAGCUAACUACUACUAAUCUAGGUAAGUUCGAAUUAGUGUCACAAUAGAUAAAAUUAAACUAAAUUUCAAUCCCCGGCAACGGCGCUAAAAACUUGUUCAUGAUUUUAUUUCUUUCGAUUUAACACCCACUGCAAGUGUACGGUUCGUUAACAAAUAGUAGAAUGGAUUAUGAGUCCAAGUAUCGAUCCCACAAAGAUUGAAUUACUUCAAAUCAAUCUAUUAUGACCUUAACUGAAAUACGAAAACAAGAUGUAUGUAUUGUGAUUCAACUGAGGAAGAUGUGAACUAUGAUACAAUUAUGAUUGAGAAACUUAUACUAAAUGCAAAAUGACCUGGAUGCAAUCUACGAGAAUUUAUGGAAUUAAUGAAAUACUAACACACUAGGAUCACGAAUUCCCAAGCAAAACCCGUUCAACUUUUAAUUAUGCAAAUUUGACACACACUCCCACAAUUGAUGAAUCAAUAUUCCUAUUUUAAUUUAGCAAUCUCUCUCGAGCAAUACCAAACCUACCCCAAUAUGUUAUUCGACUAUAUCUCUAUGACGAAUACUAACAUACAGGAACGCAUGUAAUUUCAUGAAUAUUCAAC
RNAcentral lists this long non-coding RNA (11790 nucleotides) under Olea europaea (common olive). RNAcentral describes it as "long non-coding RNA (OEUR_LNC009921)". The record is from RNAcentral. Lineage: Eukaryota; Viridiplantae; Streptophyta; Magnoliopsida; Lamiales; Oleaceae.